AUUCCCCAUUAAUUAAAUCCCACAUUUCCCAUUAAUUAAAUCCUAUAUUCCCUAUAAAAUAAAUCCAAUUAUUCCCUAUUAAAUAAAUCCAAUUAUUCCCUAUUAAAUCCAAUUACUAAUAAUAAAUAAUAAUAAAUAAAAAAUCCCAUUUUCCUUUUCAAUAAAUCCCAAAAUUCCCAAUUUUCACCUUUUUUCCCCUUCAUUUUAAUCUCCAAAUCCCCCCUAAAAAAAUAAACUAAAAAUCCAAACAAAACCUCAAACUGGAAUUUUCCCUUUUUUCCAAUUUAUUCCAAAAAAAAAAAAAAUUCCGAGGAAGAAAAAAAAGACAAAGAAUUCCCAGAAAUUCCAUUGGAGGGGGAUUUAUUUCUGCAGGAAAAGAGCCGGGAAUUUACAGCUUUUUUUUGGGAAUUUUCGCACGGAUCCAAGCUGGGAUUUUUGGGAUUUCUCCUUUUUUUUUUUUUUCCCCCACCAAACAGAAGCAAAAACAACAACAAAACCAAAAAAUCCCGGAAAAAAACCACCCCAAAUCCAACUUUUUUUUUCACCCCAAACUUCAAACCCGGCGGGAAAAGGGAAUUCCGACCAUUUUUUCCCAAUUUCCCGGGAAUUCACCCCAAAAAUCCGUCGGUUUUUUAAUGGGAAGUCCAUGCGAUGGUGGCGGGAAAUUCCCGGGAUGAUCCAGACGGGCGAACGGACAGCUCAUGUUUGCUGUUAAUUAAUUAAUUAAUGAGUAAUUAAUUAAUUAAUUGGCGGGUCGUUCUGGUUGGGUUUUUGGGGAGGAAAGGGCGGGAAUGAGUUAAAUAAACAUGCGGGGGUGGGGGAGGGGCUGGGCCAGGCGGGGCCGCGGCGGUGGUGACGUCAUCGGUGACGUCAUCGUCUUCAUCAUCGUCAUCGGUGACGUCAUCGUCUUCGUCAUCGGUGUCAUCGUUGUCUUCUUCAUCAUCGGUGUCAUCGUCGUCUUCAUCGUCAUUGUCAUCAUCAUCAUCAUGGUCGUCGUUGUCGGUCAUUGUCACCAUUGUUGGGUCAUCGUCAUUGUCACCAUCGUUGGUCAUUGUCACCAUUGUUGGGUCAUCGUCAUCGUCAUUGUCACCAUCGUUGGUCAUUGUCACCAUUGUUGGGUCAUCAUCAUCGUCACCAUCGUUGGCCAUCGUUGCCAUCGUUGGUCAUCGUCAUCGUCACCACCGUUGGCCACGGCCACCAUCACCGUCGGUCAUUGGUCACCAUCACCGCUGUUGGCCAUCGUCACCUUCAUCGGUCACCGUCGUCACCGUUGGCCGUCGCCACCGCCGGCACCGCCGGCCGACCCGGCGUUCCCAAAAACCGCAGGAAUUCCCCGUUUGCGCUCCCGCCCCGGGAGGACGCGAACAAUGGAGGAGUCCUGGGAUCUGGAGCUCGUGGUGGGCGGGAUGCCCGCAGAUUCCGUGGAUUUCCCGAGGAUUCCGUGGAUUUCCUCUGGAUUCCAUGGAUUUCCCGCAGAUUCCCGCGGAUUCUGUGGAUUUCCCGAGGAUUCCAUGGAUUUCCUGCAAAUUCCACGGAUUUCCUGCAGAUUCCAUGGAUUUCCCGUGGAUUUCCUGCAGAUUCCAUGGAUUUCCCGUGGAUUCCAUGGAUUUCCUGUGGAUUCCAUAGAUUUCCUGUGGAUUCCAUGGAUUUCCUGUGGAUUCCCAAGGAUUCCAUGGAUUUCCCAUGGAUUCCCGAGGAUUCCAUGGAUUUCCUGUGGAUUCCCAAGGAUUCCAUGGAUUUCCUGUGGAUUCCAUGGAUUUCCUGUGGAUUCCAGUGGAUUCCCUGCAAAUUCCAGUGGAUUCCAUGGAUUUCCCAUGGAUUCCCAAGGAUUCCAUGGAUUUCCUGCAGAUUCCAUGGAUUCCCUGUGGAUUCCCAAAAAUUCCAUGGAUUUCCUGCGGAUUCCACAGAUUCCAUGGAUUUCCCAUGGAUUCCC
RNAcentral lists this long non-coding RNA (1933 nucleotides) under Chloebia gouldiae (Gouldian finch). RNAcentral describes it as "Erythrura gouldiae (Gouldian finch) lncRNA (ENSEGOG00005010316.1)". Lineage: Eukaryota; Metazoa; Chordata; Aves; Passeriformes; Passeridae. The record is from RNAcentral.